Molecule: unclassified non-coding RNA, 269 nt
Filed under: Hevea brasiliensis (rubber tree)
Lineage: Eukaryota; Viridiplantae; Streptophyta; Magnoliopsida; Malpighiales; Euphorbiaceae
Source: RNAcentral
GGCAAAAUUAUCACCAUUGCUCCUGUUGAAGAGCUACAAAGAGAAGAUCGAGAACUGUGGAUUUGUUAUUCUGCUUUAGAUGCAAUAAGCACCUGGCAGCUUUAUGAGAGUUUGAAAAACAAACUAUGUCGUAUGCCAUGGAAAGUUGAUGGAAGACCAGUUGGAAAAUCUAUGUAUGACUUCUACCAGGAAUACUGGAAACCAUUUGGCAAGCUUCUAGUUAGAAUGGAAACUGAGGGGAUACUUGUUGAUCGGCCAUAUCUUGCUGA